RNAcentral lists this transfer RNA (75 nucleotides) under Marmota monax (woodchuck). Its description in RNAcentral is "tRNA.Undet". Lineage: Eukaryota; Metazoa; Chordata; Mammalia; Rodentia; Sciuridae. The record is from RNAcentral.
GGCAAAUUUUUGGCUCAGUGGUAGAGCGCUUUCUAGCCUGCUCACGAGGUCCUGGGUUCGAUUCCCAGUUUGACA